GAACGCUGGCGGCGUGCUUAACACAUGCAAGUCGAACGGAAAGGCCCUGCUUUUGUGGGGUGCUCGAGUGGCGAACGGGUGAGUAACACGUGAGUAACCUGCCCGUGACUUUGGGAUAACUUCAGGAAACUGGGGCUAAUACCGGAUAGGAGCUCCUGCUGCAUGGUGGGGGUUGGAAAGUUUCGGCGGUUGGGGAUGGACUCGCGGCUUAUCAGCUUGUUGGUGGGGUAGUGGCUUACCAAGGCUUUGACGGGUAGCCGGCCUGAGAGGGUGACCGGCCACAUUGGGACUGAGAUACGGCCCAGACUCCUACGGGAGGCAGCAGUGGGGAAUAUUGCACAAUGGGCGGAAGCCUGAUGCAGCAACGCCGCGUGCGGGAUGACGGCCUUCGGGUUGUAAACCGCUUUCGCCUGUGACGAAGCGUGAGUGACGGUAAUGGGUAAAGAAGCACCGGCUAACUACGUG
This 465-nucleotide ribosomal RNA is filed under the name uncultured bacterium. Its description in RNAcentral is "partial 16S ribosomal RNA". It matches the Rfam family "Bacterial small subunit ribosomal RNA", at positions 31 to 507 of the family's 1533-position model. The record is from RNAcentral.